Molecule: ribosomal RNA, 495 nt
Filed under: uncultured bacterium
Lineage: Bacteria
Description: partial 16S ribosomal RNA
Rfam family: Bacterial small subunit ribosomal RNA
Source: RNAcentral
GACGAACGCUGGCGGCGUGCCUAAUACAUGCAAGUAGAACGCUGAAGGAGGAGCUUGCUUCUCUGGAUGAGUUGCGAACGGGUGAGUAACGCGUAGGUAACCUGCCUGGUAGCGGGGGAUAACUAUUGGAAACGAUAGCUAAUACCGCAUAAUAGUAGAUGUUGCAUGACAUUUUCUUAAAAGGUGCAAUUGCAUCACUACCAGAUGGACCUGCGUUGUAUUAGCUAGUUGGUGAGGUAACGGCUCACCAAGGCAACGAUACAUAGCCGACCUGAGAGGGGGAUCGGCCACACUGGGACUGAGACACGGCCCAGACUCCUACGGGAGGCAGCAGUAGGGAAUCUUCGGCAAUGGACGGAAGUCUGACCGAGCAACGCCGCGUGAGUGAAGAAGGGUUUCGGAUCGUAAAGCUCUGUUGUAAGAGAAGAACGAGUGUGAGAGUGGAAAGUUCACACUGUGACGGUAUCUUAACAGAAAGGGACGGCUAACUACGUG